GGGGGGGUAUAUAGAGGGCAUGAGGUAGUCUUUAGGAGGUCUGUGUGUGUGUGUGCGUGUGGGGGGGGUGUAUAGAGGGCAUGAGGUAGUCUUUAGGAGGUCUGUGUGUGUGUGUGUGUGUGUUGGGGGAUAUAUAGAGGGCAUAAGGUGGUCUUUAGGAGGUCUGUGUGUGUGUGUGGGGGGGGGGGAUGUAUAGAGGGCAUGAGGUAGUCUUUAGGAGGUCUGUGUGUGUGGGGGGGGGGGGUGUAUAGAGGGCAUGAGGUAGUCUUUAGGAGGUCUGUGUGUGUGUGUGUGUGUGUGUUGGGGGAUAUAUAGAGGGCAUAAGGUGGUCUUUAGGAGGUCUGUGUGUGUGUGUGGGGGGGGGGUGUAUAGAGGGCAUAAGGUAGUCUUUAGGAGAUCUGUGUGUGUGUGUGGGGGGGGGUAUAUAGAGGGCAUGAGGUAGUCUUUAGGAGGUCUGUGUGUGUG
This is a long non-coding RNA of Oncorhynchus tshawytscha (Chinook salmon), 465 nucleotides long. NCBI's taxonomy places the organism in Eukaryota, Metazoa, Chordata, Actinopteri, Salmoniformes, Salmonidae. The record is from Ensembl.